ACGAGAGGCCCGCAGCAAUGCGGGUAGUAAAGUGGCGCACGGGUGAGUAAUAUGUGAGUAACCUACCCUCGUGUGGGGGAUAACACCGCGAAAGCGGUGCUAAUACCGCAUACGAUCGCAAGGCGAAAGCCGAGUGAUGAAAGGGGGCGACCUUCGGGGCUCCCGCACUUGGAGGGGCUCACAUCCCAUUAGCUAGUUGGUGAGGUAACGGCCCACCAAGGCGAUGAUGGGUCGCUGGUCUGAGAGGACGACCAGCCACACUGGCACUGAAACACGGGCCAGACUCCUACGGGAGGCAGCAGUGAGGAAUCUUGCGCAAUGGGCGAAAGCCUGACGCAGCGAUGCCGCGUGGGGGACGAAGGCCUUCGGGUUGUAAACCCCUUUCGACCGGAAAGAACCGCCAUUGGGUAAAUAAUCCAGUGGCCUGACGAUACCGGGAGAAGAAGCCACGGCUAACUCUGUGCCAGCAGCCGCGGUAAGACAGAGGUGGCGAGCGUUGUUCGGAUUUACUGGGCGUAAAGCGUGCGUAGGCGGUUGUGUGUGUCGGAUGUGAAAUACCGGGACUUCAUCUGGGUGCUGCAUUCGAAACUGCACGACUUGAGGAUAGGAUGGGGAAGCGGAAUUCCCUGGCGUAGCGGUGAAAUGCGUAGAUAUCGGGAAGAACACCGGUGGCGAAAGCGGCUUCCUGG
This 689-nucleotide ribosomal RNA is filed under the name uncultured bacterium. RNAcentral's name for it is "bacterial SSU rRNA". It matches the Rfam family "Bacterial small subunit ribosomal RNA", at positions 66 to 732 of the family's 1533-position model. The record is from RNAcentral.